AAGACAUUAAAACUGUGAGAUGGAGGGAACAUUUGUAUCCAAUAAUUACCAUUUCCUUCAUUUUAUAUUAAUUCAGGAUGGUUUCCCUUUUGUUUCUUAAGCUUAAAUGGUGCUGUAUUUUUUUCUGAAACAGUUGGAAUAUGCUUCUAUUCAAGGUGAUUUGCAGCUGCUUGGGCAACCAGUUCUUUUUUUUCCUUGAACAAAUGCUGAAGGGCAUUAUUUGGGAGUGAGAAGUUUGAUGGGGUGGGUGACUUCCAAAUAUUUUUCUAUUCAAGAAUGUUGUAUAUUAUUGCAAUGUAUUUCCAGAAAAUGGUUAUUCAGGACACCACUUUUCACAUAACGUUUCCUACAGGGUCACAAUCAUAUAGUAAAACAUAUGUACACAUAUAAUACACACAGUGUUCAUGAGGACAAUAGAACAAAACCCCCCUUGAUUGUAGGUCAUAUUUCAUCAUGGUAGUUGUUCACCAAAAAUAAGAUAUGUAAUUUAAGAUUUAGGCAGUCAACCGACAUGCCUGAUUAUAUAGUAUAGACCUCUCGCUGUGCCUCUGUGUGAGGUAAUUAGGAAAGGAUAUAAAGCAAAAAGGCACAAUCCUUGCUCUUGAGCAGGAUACAAUCCAAUGUGUCAGAAAGAGAAAUAAACACAGUCAUAACACUGUGAAUUGAUUGCUGUAGUGGAGGCACACAGGAGUAUAACUGGCAUUCCAGGAUGCAAGUGGAUAACUAAACCUUGAAGAAUAUGUAAGGAUUCUUUUAUCCAACAAGGAGCAGAGGGAUAUUAGAUAAAGCUACCAAUACAUGCAAAGUCCUAUAUGUCAGGAGAGUGCGGAGAAAAAGAGAAUGAGCUGGGUGGUCAGGCGAAGAGAAGUAAAUUUAUUAAAGGGAAACGAAGGGGAGACCGACCCUUGAGAAGAGGGUCCCCCUGCCCUUCUGGUGGGUGCAGACGGAAAAUUGGAUCCCCUGAAGGCAGAUUAGUUUAUCUUGAGCCUGCAGCUGAACUCUGGUGGUCACAGUCUUGAGAAAGCUGGAGGUGUCCCAUGGAAAAGUGGUCUCGUCGUCUUGGGAAAGUCGGCACCAGUGGCGAAAACAGGAUCGCUCAUUAAAGAAUAGGAAAGAAAAUUAUGGCUGUUUUUUUAAAACAAGAAAACCUAUAGUUAGAAUUGAACAAUGAUAAAAACAAGGUGUCAGUUCAGACCACAGAGAUAAGUAUUUGCAUGGUUAAGUAAGGAAUUAUCUAAACUAGAACCAGAGUAAAAACCCUGUGACAGAGGUAGCUUAAGUCAUAAGAUAUUGUGGCAUAAGGUCAAGUAGUCUUCCUUUGCUGGGCUCUUCCCUGGAAUCAACCAAGUAAAAUGUUAUCAUUCUGAAUAAACACCCACAUGUGUACAAAAAUUUGCAUUCCUAAUUGUGUAAUAUAUAAGAGGAGGCUUCCAGAUUGUAUAAGCUUUGGGCCCCCAAAUUCUGGACUCUCCUUGCCUAGAAGAUAAUCCAUGAAAGGAUUAGAAAAGUAAUACCAGAAGUCAGGAUAGCAAAGUAACUGACUUAAUUUUGGAAACUAAGUAAUUCAAUUGUAAAGAGUUAUUGCUAUUAUCUACAUAUGAUGGACAAAACAGUUAUGUUUUCGUUUUCACUUCCAAACAUAUAAAUGUUUUUUCCUCACCAGUGGGGGUUUAUAUGCUGCUCUCAACUACCCAUCCCAGCCCAACUUGGGGAGAAGUCUCCACUGAUCACAAGAACACCUGUUCUCUAAUUCCUCAGAGAUGUGGUAUGCACAGGUUAAAGUGACUUAAUGAAGACGAGCUGAAAUGUGGUCCAUGACAAAAUUACAAAGAACAUAUAGGAAGGAAGCAAGGUCAAUUAAUAAAGUUUCUAUCCUAUUAUUUAAAAACUGCUUAAAGAGAGAUUAUUUU
This 1910-nucleotide long non-coding RNA is filed under the name Sus scrofa (pig). Its description in RNAcentral is "lncRNA (ENSSSCG00040050265.1)". The record is from RNAcentral. Lineage: Eukaryota; Metazoa; Chordata; Mammalia; Artiodactyla; Suidae.